This 72-nucleotide transfer RNA is filed under the name Camelus bactrianus (Bactrian camel). It matches the Rfam family "tRNA". From Rfam's summary of the family: Transfer RNA (tRNA) molecules are approximately 80 nucleotides in length. Their secondary structure includes four short double-helical elements and three loops (D, anti-codon, and T loops). RNAcentral also lists the same sequence under 2 other names. Lineage: Eukaryota; Metazoa; Chordata; Mammalia; Artiodactyla; Camelidae. The record is from Rfam by way of RNAcentral.
GGGUGUAUAGCUCAGUGGUAGAGAGCGUGAUUAGCAUGUCUGAGGUCCUGGGUUCAAUCCCCAGUACUGCCA